UAUUUAUUUUAUUAAUUUUUUUAAUUUUUUUAUUAUUUUUAAUUUGAAUAUUAUUAAUUUUUUUGUUUUUUAGUAUCUUUUUGAAUAAAAUAUUUUAUUGAUAGUUUAUUUUUACCGUAAGGGAUUUAUUAUAUUAAUUAUUUAAAUUAGAAUUUUUUUUGUACCUUUUGUAUCAGGGUAUAUUAAAUUAUUUAUAUUUAUUUAUUAUUCUCGAAUUAAAUUGAUCUAUUAUUAUAUGUUAGUUGCAGUUUUAUAUUCAUUAAUUAUAUUAUAGUAGGUGUGAUAUGCUAUUCGUAAUUUAUGAUAUCUAGUUUUCUUAUAGACAAAUUUAAUUUGGCUAUUUUUAUUUAAUUAUAUUUUUUUAAUUAUUUUAUUUAUUUAUAGUAAUAUUAAAGGAGAUUAGUUCUUUAUUAUUUUUAUAAUUUUUUUUUCUUGAUACUAUAUAGGUUUUAAACUAUCCAUUAUGUUUAGUAUAUUAUUAUUUAGUAUUUAUAUUCUUUGAUUUAUUUUUAUUUAAUUAUCUAUUUGAAUUUAAUUUUUAAUUUUUUAUUAUUUUUAAUAAUGAUUUAAUUAGUAUACUUUUUUUAUAAGAUUUUAUUUUUUUUAAUUAUUAAAAAGGAACUAGGCAAUCGAUUAUUUGUUCGCCUGUUUAUCAAAAACAUCUUCUCUUGAUAUUAAUUUGAGAUUUUACCUGCCCAAUGAUAUUUUAAUGGCCGCGGUAUUUUGACCGUGCAAAGGUAGCAUAAUCAUUAGUUUUUUAAUUGAGAACUGGUAUGAAUGGUUUGACGAAACAUUAACUGUCUCUUUAUUAUAUUAGAAAUUAAAAUUUGAGUUAAAAUGCUUAAAUUUACUUAUUGGACGAGAAGACCCUAUAGAUCUUUAUAAUUAUAUUUAUUAUAUAAUUUAGUUUAUUUUUUUUUUAUUAAAUAAUUUAUUUCGUUGGGGUGACUUGAAGAUAUAUUUAACUCUUUAUAUUUGUUUACAUUUAUUUUUGGAUUAUUGACCUUAUUUUAUUGUUAUAAGAUUAAGAUACCUUAGGGAUAACAGCGUAAUUAUUCUUGAGAGUUCUUAUUGACAGAUUAGAUUGCGACCUCGAUGUUGGAUUAAGAUUAUAUUUGGGUGUAGUAGCUUAAAAUUAGAUAGGUCUGUUCGACCUUUAAAUUCUUACAUGAUCUGAGUUCAAACCGGUGUGAGCCAGGUUGGUUUCUAUCCAUAAAUUUAUAUAUCAUAUUAGUACGAGAGGACCAUAUGAUUCAAAUAUUUUGUUAAUACUGAUUGAUU
RNAcentral lists this ribosomal RNA (1281 nucleotides) under Phraortes lianzhouensis. RNAcentral describes it as "16S ribosomal RNA". The stretch from base 1040 to 1201 matches the Rfam family "Archaeal large subunit ribosomal RNA", at positions 2542 to 2701 of the family's 2987-position model. Lineage: Eukaryota; Metazoa; Arthropoda; Insecta; Phasmatodea; Lonchodidae. The record is from RNAcentral.